This 665-nucleotide ribosomal RNA is filed under the name Riemerella anatipestifer. Its description in RNAcentral is "bacterial SSU rRNA". It matches the Rfam family "Bacterial small subunit ribosomal RNA", at positions 605 to 1277 of the family's 1533-position model. Lineage: Bacteria; Pseudomonadati; Bacteroidota; Flavobacteriia; Flavobacteriales; Weeksellaceae. The record is from RNAcentral.
CAGCUUAACUGUAGAACUGCCGUUGAUACUGCUAGUCUUGAGUAUAGUUGAGGUAGCUGGAAUGAGUAGUGUAGCGGUGAAAUGCAUAGAUAUUACUCAGAACACCGAUUGCGAAGGCAGGUUACCAAGUUAUAACUGACGCUGAGGGACGAAAGCGUGGGGAGCGAACAGGAUUAGAUACCCUGGUAGUCCACGCCGUAAACGAUGCUAACUCGUUUUUGGGCUUUAGGGUUCAGAGACUAAGCGAAAGUGAUAAGUUAGCCACCUGGGGAGUACGACCGCAAGGUUGAAACUCAAAGGAAUUGACGGGGGCCCGCACAAGCGGUGGAUCAUGUGGUUUAAUUCGAUGAUACGCGAGGAACCUCACCAAGGCUUAAAUGGGAAUUGACAGCUGUAGAAAUACGGUUUACUUCGGACAAUUUUCAAGGUGCUGCAUGGUUGUCGUCAGCUCGUGCCGUGAGGUGUUAGGUUAAGUCCUGCAACGAGCGCAACCCCUGUCACUAGUUGCCAUCAUUAAGUUGGGGACUCUAGUGAGACUGCCUACGCAAGUAGCGAGGAAGGUGGGGAUGACGUCAAAUCAUCACGGCCCUUACGCCUUGGGCCACACACGUGAUACAAUGGCCGGUACAGAGGGCAGCUACACUGCGAAGUGAUGCAAAUCUCGA